UCACCACCUCACUGUAAGUCGCUCUGGAUAAGAGCGUCUGCUAAACAACUAAAA
Molecule: non-coding RNA, 54 nt
Organism: Salmo salar (Atlantic salmon)
Lineage: Eukaryota; Metazoa; Chordata; Actinopteri; Salmoniformes; Salmonidae
Source: Rfam